RNAcentral lists this ribosomal RNA (691 nucleotides) under Staphylococcus aureus. RNAcentral's name for it is "bacterial LSU rRNA". It matches the Rfam family "Bacterial large subunit ribosomal RNA", at positions 1 to 688 of the family's 2925-position model. The record is from RNAcentral. Lineage: Bacteria; Bacillati; Bacillota; Bacilli; Caryophanales; Staphylococcaceae.
AGAUUAAGUUAUUAAGGGCGCACGGUGGAUGCCUUGGCACUAGAAGCCGAUGAAGGACGUUACUAACGACGAUAUGCUUUGGGGAGCUGUAAGUAAGCUUUGAUCCAGAGAUUUCCGAAUGGGGAAACCCAGCAUGAGUUAUGUCAUGUUAUCGAUAUGUGAAUACAUAGCAUAUCAGAAGGCACACCCGGAGAACUGAAACAUCUUAGUACCCGGAGGAAGAGAAAGAAAAUUCGAUUCCCUUAGUAGCGGCGAGCGAAACGGGAAGAGCCCAAACCAACAAGCUUGCUUGUUGGGGUUGUAGGACACUCUGUACGGAGUUACAAAGGACGACAUUAGACGAAUCAUCUGGAAAGAUGAAUCAAAGAAGGUAAUAAUCCUGUAGUCGAAAAUGUUGUCUCUCUUGAGUGGAUCCUGAGUACGACGGAGCACGUGAAAUUCCGUCGGAAUCUGGGAGGACCAUCUCCUAAGGCUAAAUACUCUCUAGUGACCGAUAGUGAACCAGUACCGUGAGGGAAAGGUGAAAAGCACCCCGGAAGGGGAGUGAAAUAGAACCUGAAACCGUGUGCUUACAAGUAGUCAGAGCCCGUUAAUGGGUGAUGGCGUGCCUUUUGUAGAAUGAACCGGCGAGUUACGAUUUGAUGCAAGGUUAAGCAGUAAAUGUGGAGCCGUAGCGAAAGCGAGUCUGAAU